CAAUAGCGUAUAUUAAAGUUGUUGUGGUUAAAAGCUCGUAGUUGGAUCUCGGCGGACUGAGGGCGGUUUGCUUGCUAGUAUUACUGCCCUAUAGUCCGUAGUUUUGCCAGAGGUUUCGAGGUGCUCUUAAUCGAGUGUCCCGGGAUGCUGGCAGGUUUACUUUGAAAAAUUAGAGUGUUCAAAGCAGGCCUACGCUUGAAUACAUUAGCAUGGAAUAAUGGAAUAGGACUUUGGUGCUAUUUUGUUGGUUUAUGGGACCGAAGUAAUGAUUAACAGGGACAGUUGGGGCCGUUAUAUUUCGUUGUCAGAGGUGAAAUUCUUGGAUUUACGAAAGAUAAACUUCUGCGAAAGCAUUCGGCAAGGAUGUUUUCAUUGAUCAAGAACGAAAGUUAGGGGAUCGAAGACGAUCAGAUACCA
Molecule: ribosomal RNA, 417 nt
Filed under: uncultured eukaryote
Lineage: Eukaryota
Description: bacterial SSU rRNA
Rfam family: Eukaryotic small subunit ribosomal RNA
Source: RNAcentral